Manihot esculenta (cassava) is the source of this 1153-nucleotide long non-coding RNA. RefSeq lists it as uncharacterized. Lineage: Eukaryota; Viridiplantae; Streptophyta; Magnoliopsida; Malpighiales; Euphorbiaceae. The record is from RefSeq and is a predicted model, not a curated record. The transcript is spliced from 2 exons.
UGUUGCAGAGGAAAAAAAACUCAAACUUCAUUUACAAUACCGUGGGCACGCUCUGGUCGAGACUGCCACUUGGUCCUGAGAUGGAUUAAAGAAGAGUAGGGAACCUCUCGCUCGUUUUUAGAAUUCGACAUCAAGAACUAUUUUCACUGGUUUUCUUUUUUCCUGGCUUCCGGGAUUGCAAAGUCUUAGUCUUAGUUUGAUGCUCCGGCUUCUUCCUUACGUCCUAUGUCACCGGAAGUCAGAAUAGAAGAUACCAUGCUUUCCCACUGAGACUAGUAUUUCCCACUAAGACUAGUAGAUUCUUGUCUUUAACACUAGAUCCUAUCUUCAUACACUGUGCCUUUUUAAUACCUAUAUAAACUGCCGCUUUCAGAUUAUGAUAUGGAAGUCGAUCCUGACGAGUGCUCGGAUCUAUCGGAUCUAUUAUAACAUACCCAUGAAGCCGCUCAACGGAUUUUUUGGACUUUGAAUUAAUGCAAAAAUAAUUUUUUGUGCAAUCUAGUAUAUUCCUAUCUUAUUUGGAGACUACUUUAUGCAAUUAUCCAAUUGGUAGGACCAAGAGAAAGGAGUGGCUCCUUCAUGCCCAUGUCUAAUGUCGCUCAAGCGCAGUAGUGACAUCUUGGAUCGGUUGUGAAAGAAGGAGCUGCAUUUGAUUCCGAUCCUGCAUUACUGUCUUGCUAGCCAUUUCGCAUAGCAAGUCUGGUGGGCAUCAAGUCUUUCACAAUCCCUAUUUCCGGAGGUUCUUUGAGAAGUUCAUCUUUUGCAGCUGAUAAAGAAAGGCAACUGGAAUUUAAAAAUUCUUUUGAGAACUAGAACCUACAGUGGCUUUUUGACGGUAGAGUUGGGGCGGCUUGCUGUAGGAGGAUUUUCUGAAACUAAAAAAAGCUGUUGAUUACUCGGAUUGGUUCUCGCGUCUCUGUGCCCCGCUCGGUUCAAGUUUUCAUCGAUUGGGUGGAUCUAUAUGCUCCGGAAGGUCAGCACAUCUAUUUUGGAUACAAUGAAUGGUGAUUCAAUAUAGAUUCUACAUCUUGAAAUCAGACUAAUUUUAAAGCAAUUUUGUGAUAAUAAAUGCACCAAUUGCAAUACAAUAUAUAUUUGUAAUUCACUAGUUACUUCAAAUGCUCUCUAAACUUUUAAAAAAAAUUGAAAGUUA